UAAAAUGGAUUUGAGCAGCUGAGUG
RNAcentral lists this non-coding RNA (25 nucleotides) under Drosophila erecta. Lineage: Eukaryota; Metazoa; Arthropoda; Insecta; Diptera; Drosophilidae. RNAcentral also lists the same sequence under 2 other names. The record is from RNAcentral.